UACGUAGGGUGCAAGCGUUGUCCGGAAUUAUUGGGCGUAAAGGGUGUGUAGGUGGCGCCGUAAGUCGGGUGUGAAAUCUCGGGGCUUAACUCCGAAACUGCAUUCGAUACUGCGGUGCUUGAGGACUGGAGAGGAGACUGGAAUUCAUGGUGUAGCAGUGAAAUGCGUAGAGAUCAUGAGGAAGACCAGUGGCGAAGGCGGGUCUCUGGACAGUUCCUGACACUGAGACACGAAGGCCAGGGGAGCAAACGGG
This 253-nucleotide ribosomal RNA is filed under the name uncultured bacterium. RNAcentral's name for it is "partial 16S ribosomal RNA". It matches the Rfam family "Bacterial small subunit ribosomal RNA", at positions 524 to 776 of the family's 1533-position model. The record is from RNAcentral.